AUGUUAACGCAUGAUAUGUUAACAUCAGUUUUCCAAAAAAUCGAUGUUAACUUGUAUGCAUUAACAU
This 67-nucleotide microRNA precursor is filed under the name Glycine soja. RNAcentral's name for it is "MIR4359 microRNA precursor family". It matches the Rfam family "MIR4359 microRNA precursor family". The record is from Rfam by way of RNAcentral. Lineage: Eukaryota; Viridiplantae; Streptophyta; Magnoliopsida; Fabales; Fabaceae.